AGUCGUAACAAGGUUUCCGUAGGUGAACCUGCGGAAGGAUCAUUAUAGAAUUGGUAGCUUGCUACCUUCACUAUACUAUACUGUUUACAUUCCUGUUGCUUCCCUGUCAUAUGGAGGUCUUCCACUUGUGGUUGCCCUUCGACAGGGAAAUUGUUAAAACACAUUUUGAAUAUAUUCUGUAUCAAAUUUUAUAAAUUAUUAUAAAACUUUCAACAACGGAUCUCUAGGCUCUU
RNAcentral lists this unclassified non-coding RNA (233 nucleotides) under fungal sp. Its description in RNAcentral is "partial internal transcribed spacer region". The stretch from base 1 to 45 matches the Rfam family "Eukaryotic small subunit ribosomal RNA", at positions 1787 to 1831 of the family's 1831-position model. The record is from RNAcentral. Lineage: Eukaryota; Fungi.